Molecule: ribosomal RNA, 253 nt
Filed under: uncultured bacterium
Lineage: Bacteria
Description: partial 16S ribosomal RNA
Rfam family: Bacterial small subunit ribosomal RNA
Source: RNAcentral
UACGGGGGGGGCAAGCGUUGUUCGGAAUUACUGGGCGUAAAGGGCUCGUAGGCGGCCAACUAAGUCGGACGUGAAAUCCCCAGGCUCAACCUGGGAACUGCGUCCGAUACUGGAUGGCUUGAAUUCGGGAGAGGGAUGCAGAAUUCCAGGUGUAGCGGUGAAAUGCGUAGAUAUCAGGAGGAAUACCGAUGGCGAAGGCAGGUCUCUGGGCUGACACUGACGCUCAUGCACGAAAGCGUGGGGAGCAAACAGG